AGAGUUGAUCCUGGCUAGGAUGAACGCUGGCGGCGUGCCUAACACAUGCAAGUCGAGCGGAGAUAAGUUGAAGCCUAGCGAUUCUUAUCUUAGCGGCGGAUGGGUGAGUAACACGUGGGUAACCUGCCCUGUACUGGGGGGAUAACAGCUGGAAACGGCUGUUAAUACCGCAUAUGCGCACGGAGCCGCAUGGCCCUGGGCGGAAAGAUUCAUCGGUACAGGAUGGGCCCGCGCCGGAUUAACUUGUUGGCGGGGUAACGGCCCACCAAGGUGAUGAUCCGUAGCCGACCUGAGAGGGUGACCGGCCACAUUGGGACUGAGACACGGCCCAAACUCCUACGGGAGGCAGCAGGUGGGGGAUAUUGCACAAUGGGGAAACCCUGAUGCAGCGACGCCGCGUGAAGGAAGAAGUAUUUCGGUAUGUAAACUUCUAUCAGCGGGGAAGAAGAUGACGGUACCCGCACAAGAAGCCCCGGCUAACUACGUGCCAGCCGCCGC
Molecule: ribosomal RNA, 498 nt
Filed under: uncultured bacterium
Lineage: Bacteria
Description: bacterial SSU rRNA
Rfam family: Bacterial small subunit ribosomal RNA
Source: RNAcentral